GUCGCUGUCAAUCCAGCGACCGGGUUUUGCAGCCCGAAUCACACAAAGGCGCACAGGCGCCACCGUCCGAUAGCAGGCGCUUUUUUU
This 87-nucleotide small RNA is filed under the name Pseudomonas sp. 1-7. RNAcentral describes it as "isrK". It matches the Rfam family "isrK Hfq binding RNA". The record is from RNAcentral. Lineage: Bacteria; Pseudomonadati; Pseudomonadota; Gammaproteobacteria; Pseudomonadales; Pseudomonadaceae.